Molecule: long non-coding RNA, 205 nt
Filed under: Elaeis guineensis (African oil palm)
Lineage: Eukaryota; Viridiplantae; Streptophyta; Magnoliopsida; Arecales; Arecaceae
Description: long non-coding RNA (EGUI_LNC004232)
Source: RNAcentral
CCCCCUCCUUGCACUCCGACGUCUCGCGGCCCCGAGUCCACACCUUUUUUUCCCCCUUCAUCGGUGCCUCCUUCCCAGCAGUUCCUCCCUCUCCAGUGCUUCCUUCCCGAUGGUUCUUCUCUUCUUGCGCUCUAACGUUCCGUGGCCUCGAGCUCGCACUUCGGCCACUCCCACGACUACCCCGCCCUCAUCGGCCCCGACCCUG